Molecule: ribosomal RNA, 1383 nt
Filed under: Pseudomonas sp. LD7B
Lineage: Bacteria; Pseudomonadati; Pseudomonadota; Gammaproteobacteria; Pseudomonadales; Pseudomonadaceae
Description: bacterial SSU rRNA
Rfam family: Bacterial small subunit ribosomal RNA
Source: RNAcentral
CGAGCGGAUGAAGAGAGCUUGCUCUUCUGAUUCAGCGGCGGACGGGUGAGUAAUGCCUAGGAAUCUGCCUGGUAGUGGGGGACAACGUUUCGAAAGGAACGCUAAUACCGCAUACGUCCUACGGGAGAAAGCAGGGGACCUUCGGGCCUUGCGCUAUCAGAUGAGCCUAGGUCGGAUUAGCUAGUUGGUGAGGUAAUGGCUCACCAAGGCGACGAUCCGUAACUGGUCUGAGAGGAUGAUCAGUCACACUGGAACUGAGACACGGUCCAGACUCCUACGGGAGGCAGCAGUGGGGAAUAUUGGACAAUGGGCGAAAGCCUGAUCCAGCCAUGCCGCGUGUGUGAAGAAGGUCUUCGGAUUGUAAAGCACUUUAAGUUGGGAGGAAGGGUUGUAGAUUAAUACUCUGCAAUUUUGACGUUACCGACAGAAUAAGCACCGGCUAACUCUGUGCCAGCAGCCGCGGUAAUACAGAGGGUGCAAGCGUUAAUCGGAAUUACUGGGCGUAAAGCGCGCGUAGGUGGUUUGUUAAGUUGGAUGUGAAAGCCCCGGGCUCAACCUGGGAACUGCAUUCAAAACUGACAAGCUAGAGUAUGGUAGAGGGUGGUGGAAUUUCCUGUGUAGCGGUGAAAUGCGUAGAUAUAGGAAGGAACACCAGUGGCGAAGGCGACCACCUGGACUGAUACUGACACUGAGGUGCGAAAGCGUGGGGGAGCAAACAGGAUUAGAUACCCUGGUAGUCCACGCCGUAAACGAUGUCAACUAGCCGUUGGGAGCCUUGAGCUCUUAGUGGCGCAGCUAACGCAUUAAGUUGACCGCCUGGGGAGUACGGCCGCAAGGUUAAAACUCAAAUGAAUUGACGGGGGCCCGCACAAGCGGUGGAGCAUGUGGUUUAAUUCGAAGCAACGCGAAGAACCUUACCAGGCCUUGACAUCCAAUGAACUUUCCAGAGAUGGAUUGGUGCCUUCGGGAACAUUGAGACAGGUGCUGCAUGGCUGUCGUCAGCUCGUGUCGUGAGAUGUUGGGUUAAGUCCCGUAACGAGCGCAACCCUUGUCCUUAGUUACCAGCACGUUAUGGUGGGCACUCUAAGGAGACUGCCGGUGACAAACCGGAGGAAGGUGGGGAUGACGUCAAGUCAUCAUGGCCCUUACGGCCUGGGCUACACACGUGCUACAAUGGUCGGUACAGAGGGUUGCCAAGCCGCGAGGUGGAGCUAAUCCCAUAAAACCGAUCGUAGUCCGGAUCGCAGUCUGCAACUCGACUGCGUGAAGUCGGAAUCGCUAGUAAUCGCGAAUCAGAAUGUCGCGGUGAAUACGUUCCCGGGCCUUGUACACACCGCCCGUCACACCAUGGGAGUGGGUUGCACCAGAAGUAGCUAGUCUAAC